This 30-nucleotide small RNA is filed under the name Bombyx mori (domestic silkworm). Its description in RNAcentral is "ovarian small RNA-24689". Lineage: Eukaryota; Metazoa; Arthropoda; Insecta; Lepidoptera; Bombycidae. The record is from RNAcentral.
UCAAGAACUUUUUGGCCCCAACGGCCAUCC